GGGUGUUGAUGUGGGGAGGGUGUCUGCAGCCUGUUCACAGGCUCUGUUCUUGGCAGCUUCCUUGUCAGGAGCUAGAGAGAGGCAGGAGACAGAGCUGACUGGGCAGAGCACCAGCUUUGUGUGGCUGAGGAGCCUGGUUCUCUGGCCUGACAGUGGUGGGGGAAAAAUAAAAACCUCUCAUGCCUGAGGCUCUGAAGUCCCAGGCUCAAUGCUUGCAUCACCAAAACCAGAGCUGGUCAGUGAUCCAAUUUAAAAGACAAAAAUUAUGAGAAAGAAAAAAGAAGCAAAUAAGAAAAAGGAAGAGAAAAGAAAAAGAUAUAAGAAACAAAGAAAUAAUGAAAGGGAUAGAAAAUGGGGAGAAAGCACAGAUGCAGGAUCCCACCAAGUGGAGCUGGGAUGGGACUGGUAGAAUGAAGGACGAGGCUGGUGCUUGUCGCUGCGCCAGCAGUCGGGAGGUGCCUCCAAGCUGUAUAACUGUGUACAGGGCCUGGGUCGGCUGAGGUCACACACGCAAGAAUCCUUCAAGGGGCUUUAUCCCUUCCUAGCUGUGCACCCAGGAAGGCUCUGAGCUGGCCGCCUCCGGGGGACAGCAGGCUGCUCAGUGCACAGGCCUUGGAUGGUGAUGUCUGAGUUCUCCUGCCCUUUGUCUGAGCCAGAAAUGCUCUGAAUCUCUCUCUGUCUCUGUCUCUCUCCCCUAGUUGCUGUGUGAUAGGUAAUAGAUAACAUCGUGAAAAAGUUGCAUUCUAAAUUGAUGCCAUUUUGGAAAAAAAAAGAUCAGAGAUAGAGAUAGAAACCCAGUUGGCUUGGGGAUUGCUGAGUGCUAGGAAAAUGGGAAAUCCACCCACGGGAGCAGAGUUUUGCCCACUUCAAAGGGGGAUGAGAGUCAAGGUCUCCUGUGUCCGGGCAUCUGGUGAGUUUGCAUUUUCCAUCCAGUACAGGAAUUCACUUUUCUACAGGGGGAAACAGGUUGUGUAUUUCGCUGAGCUAAUAAAGAGGAGAUCACAGCAGUUAGGCCUGGGAAGGGCAGGGGAUCAAACUGGGGCUCUAGGUGUGAGAAGCCCUGUCCUGCACUGAGCCCUCUGGCAGGCUGCCCCAUUCUUGGCCUCAAUCAACAAUCAGUGGGCUCAUGUUGAAAGCAAGACUAUGGGGGCUGGGUUAAUAGCCUAAUGGGUAUGUCAAAGGCUUUCAUGUUUGAUGUUCCAAGGUUUCAGGUUCAAUCCCCAGCUCAGCUCUCCAGCUUGAGUCUGAGCUGAACAGUGUUCUGGUCUCACUCUGAUUUCUUUUCUUUCUUUCUUUUUUUUUUUGUACGGAGCAUUGCUCAGCCCCUGGGUGAUGCUGUUGGGGGAACCUCAGCUUCAGAGCCCUGCUCAGCCCUGCAUCGGUGAGCCAGGACCCAGAGAACUCCAGGUGACUUUUAUUUCAGAAGGAAAGAGAGACGGAGGGAAGAACUCGCAGCUCUGAAGCUUCCUCCUUCAGAGGCCGUGUCUUGCCGUCACCCAGCGGGCAUCUCACCUCCUCACAGGUCAGAAACUAGUUCUGUGCCCACUAUGCCCUGGAGUUCUGUUUGAUUUCCUUGUCUGAAAUAGUCUCUUGUUUUGUCAAGUCGGCAUUCAAAUCUUCAAUAAUCUUGACAGGUAGGAUGUAGGCGAGUAGGCAGAUAGGUAUGUGAUGCUUACAUACA
This is a long non-coding RNA of Erinaceus europaeus (western European hedgehog), 1681 nucleotides long. RefSeq lists it as uncharacterized. Lineage: Eukaryota; Metazoa; Chordata; Mammalia; Eulipotyphla; Erinaceidae. The record is from RefSeq and is a predicted model, not a curated record. The transcript has 3 exons.